UCGUGGGCCCCGUUAUAGUACCCAUCUCUCCCCGUCGGUGGACGAACAACAACUCCGGCAUGCAGGGAUGGUGGUUGCACCCGAUUCGGCCACACCACCGGGUACUUGAACCCGCGUCCCUCGCCUCUCGCCAUACCUUGCAACCUUCCUUGAGUUCUCCUAUGCUUCGUGUGUGUUUCACCGGUGUGAGGGGAGAGAUUGGUGAGCGAUCCGCCGCCAUAAAGGCUCUGAUUCACCGUCGUUGCGGCGUCCGGUUUGGGCCGGAGAUCUUCGUCCGGUUCCAGGGGCCUAUUCCAUGGCGUCGCGAGGGUGCAUGUGACGAUAGGGAUGCUGGGAUUGCUCGUCGGUGUCAAGAACCCUCGCGGAGCCGCCAAACCCCGUCGUCGGCCCUCAGCACCGAUCUAUCACCGGUACCACAGGAUGAGGCGCAUGAAGGAUGUUGUGAUGAGUUCGUGAGUGGUCUAGGCCGUCGUCUCCCAGUCACCUUUGGUUGAUGGAUCGUUGACUUCGUAUGAUGUAAUUAUUUAACUAUUUUGUAUAGAACUCUGUUAUAUAUUAAUGAUAUGACAUUCGUUUC
Long non-coding RNA from Zea mays, 577 nucleotides. RefSeq lists it as uncharacterized. The transcript is spliced from 2 exons. NCBI's taxonomy places the organism in Eukaryota, Viridiplantae, Streptophyta, Magnoliopsida, Poales, Poaceae. The record is from RefSeq and is a predicted model, not a curated record.